This 253-nucleotide ribosomal RNA is filed under the name uncultured bacterium. Its description in RNAcentral is "partial 16S ribosomal RNA". It matches the Rfam family "Bacterial small subunit ribosomal RNA", at positions 524 to 776 of the family's 1533-position model. The record is from RNAcentral.
UACAGAGGGUGCUAGCGUUAAUCGGAAUUACUGGGCGCAAAGCGUGUGUAGGUGGUUAGAUAAGUUAGAUGUGAAAUCCCCGGGCUUAACCUGGGGACUGCGUUUAAGACUGUUUAGCUUGAGUACUGUAGAGGAUAGUGGAAUUUCCAGUGUAGCGGUGAAAUGCGUAGAUAUUGGAAGGAACACCAGUGGCGAAGGCGACUAUCUGGACAGAUACUGACACUGAGACACGAAAGCGUGGGGAGCAAACAGG